GACGAACGCUGGCGGCGUGCUUAACACAUGCAAGUCGAACGGAAAGGCCCUGCUUUUGUGGGAUGCUCGAGUGGCUAACGGGUGAGUAACACGUGAGUAACCUGCCCUUGACUUUGGUAUAACUUCAGGAAACUGGGGCUAAUACCGCAUAGGAGCUCCUGCUGCAUGGUGGGGGUUGGAAAGUUUCGGCGGUUGGGGAUGGACUCGCGGCUUAUCAGCCUGUUGGUGAGGUAGUGGCUUACCAAGGCUUUGACGGGUAGCCUGACUGAGAGGGUGACCGGCCACAGUGGGACUGAGAAGCGGCCAAGACUCCUACGGGAGGCAGCAGUGAGGAAUAUUGCACGAUGGGCGGAAGCCUGAUGCAGCAACGCCGCGUGCGGGAUGACGGCCUUAGGGUUGGAAACCGCUUUCGCCUGUGACGAAGCGUGAGUGACGGUAAUGGGUAAAGAAGCACCGGCUAACUACGUG
Molecule: ribosomal RNA, 468 nt
Filed under: uncultured bacterium
Lineage: Bacteria
Description: partial 16S ribosomal RNA
Rfam family: Bacterial small subunit ribosomal RNA
Source: RNAcentral